Long non-coding RNA from Nymphalis io (European peacock), 777 nucleotides. RefSeq lists it as uncharacterized. The transcript is spliced from 3 exons. The record is from RefSeq and is a predicted model, not a curated record. Lineage: Eukaryota; Metazoa; Arthropoda; Insecta; Lepidoptera; Nymphalidae.
CCUGUUAUUGCUAGUGUGAAGUGCUUGCGGUUUGUGCGAACAACUUGAUAAUCGAAGUUAUCACGUUUUUGGUGAAAAGAUGGGGUCGAGAUCAAAACUAAUGGCACAGUUAGCAAAAAAAUAAAAUAAAGGCGAUAUUCCAAAUUCUGACCGUUUAGCCCAACAAAAAGUAGAUUAUAUUAAAUGUAUAUUAAGUGAAUAAAAUAUUUGGUUAGUAAAUUGAUAUUCUGAAAGAUGCACUGAAAAAUGCAGCAAGAGCUUCUAUUGAUCCUAUCUAUAAAAUUGUCACUACAUAUAUCUACAAACGUUACAUCGAUCGAAGUAAAACCAUCUCAGAUAUUCACAGACAUUAUGUGGAUCAAUGCAAGACGAACAACGUUGUUAUAGUUAAUUGUAUUAUGAUUUGUCGCAUAUUUACUUCAGGACUUCAAUAUACCUUUCUUCAUUCCGAAAAAAGACUUGCGAAUUUUACGAAGCUUACAAAAAUAGUUUCGUGGAAGAAAAAGAAUUAAAGCAAAUUUAUUUACAACAUCUCGCAGAAAAACCUUUGUCCCGAAUAAAGAAGGAAAAGGAUAAGAAAGAUGUCAUAGUAGUUGCCGUCUAUGAUUAACAGGAAAGAGCUGGAGUGAGGUUACUCAUAACUACAGGCACAAGGGAUUACAACUUCGUUCCCAAGAUUGAUGGCGCAUUAGCAAUUUGAUAAUUCUUGCAUCGCCAACUUUUAUGGGUGGUGACCACUUAACAUCAGAUUAUGGCCUAUUUGCCCAUCCGCCUACC